RNAcentral lists this ribosomal RNA (164 nucleotides) under Tetrapogon fasciculatus. RNAcentral describes it as "5.8S ribosomal RNA". It matches the Rfam family "5.8S ribosomal RNA". Rfam says of the family: 5.8S ribosomal RNA (5.8S rRNA) is a component of the large subunit of the eukaryotic ribosome. It is transcribed by RNA polymerase I as part of the 45S precursor that also contains 18S and 28S rRNA. Lineage: Eukaryota; Viridiplantae; Streptophyta; Magnoliopsida; Poales; Poaceae. The record is from RNAcentral.
CACAUGACUCUCGGCAACGGAUAUCUCGGCUCUUGCAUCGAUGAAGAACGUAGCAAAAUGCGAUACCUGGUGUGAAUUGCAGAAUCCCGUGAACCAUCGAGUUUUUGAACGCAAGUUGCGCCGGAGGCCUUUUGGCCGAGGGCACGUCUGCCUGGGCGUCACGC